This 251-nucleotide ribosomal RNA is filed under the name uncultured prokaryote. Its description in RNAcentral is "partial 16S rRNA". It matches the Rfam family "Bacterial small subunit ribosomal RNA", at positions 525 to 775 of the family's 1533-position model. The record is from RNAcentral.
CCUUAUGGUGCAAGCGUUAUUCGGAAUUACUGGGCGUAAAGCGUGUGUAGGCGGUCCUGCAAGUCUGAUGUGAAAGCCCCGGGCUUAACCCGGGAAGUGCAUUGGAAACGGCAGGUCUUGAGUAUUGGAGAGGAUGGGGGAAUUCCCGGUGUAGAGGUGAAAUUCGUAGAGAUCGGGAGGAACAUCAAUGGCGAAGGCAACCAGCUGGGCGGUAACUGACGCUGAGACACGAAAGCGUGGGGAGCGAACAG